Molecule: ribosomal RNA, 276 nt
Filed under: uncultured marine eukaryote
Lineage: Eukaryota
Description: partial 18S ribosomal RNA
Rfam family: Eukaryotic small subunit ribosomal RNA
Source: RNAcentral
UUGGAUUUCUGUUGAAGUCAGCCGGUGCACACUUCGUGUGUUAUUUGGCCUGGCUUUGGCAUCCUCUGGGGGAACGUCUCUGGCCUUAAUUGGACAGGGCGAGAUUCCAGACUUUUACUUUGAGGAAAUUAGAGUGUUCACAGCUGGCAAGUGCUUUGAAUACAUUAGCAUGGAAUAAUAAUAUAGGACCUUCGUUCUAUUUUGUUGGUCUCUAGGACUUAGGUAAUGAUUAAUAGGGACAAUUGGGGGCAUUCGUAUUAACGCGUCAGAGGUGGA